Molecule: ribosomal RNA, 465 nt
Filed under: uncultured Fusibacter sp.
Lineage: Bacteria; Bacillati; Bacillota; Clostridia; Eubacteriales; Fusibacteraceae
Description: bacterial SSU rRNA
Rfam family: Bacterial small subunit ribosomal RNA
Source: RNAcentral
CCCGCACAAGCGGUGGAGCAUGUGGUUUAAUUCGACGAUACGCGAAGAACCUUACCCGGGUUUGACAUUGUAUCGAAGCAUCCAGAGAUGGAUGUGUCUCUUCGGAGACGGUAUGACAGGUGCUGCAUGGCUGUCGUCAGCUCGUGUCGUGAGAUGUUGGGUUAAGUCCCGUAACGAGCGCAACCCUUGUGUUUUAGUUGCAAACAGGUCAAGCUGUGCACUCUAGACAGACUGCCGUGGACAACACGGAGGAAGGUGGGGAUGACGUCAAAUCAUCAUGCCCCUUAUGAUCUGGGCUACACACGUGCUACAAUGGCCGGUACAACGGGCAGCGAAGGAGCGAUCCGGAGCGAAUCCUAAAAAGCCGGUCCCAGUUCGGAUUGCAGGCUGAAACUCGCCUACAUGAAGUUGGAGUUGCUAGUAAUCGCGAAUCAGAAUGUCGCGGUGAAUGCGUUCCCGGGUCUU